CAGCAGAGUUGAAUAGUAGUUGCAGAGAUCUUGUGGCUCACAAAGCUUAGAACAUUUGCUUUCUGUUUUUCUGCAGAAAGAGAUUGCUGACCCAAGUUUCAUGAGAAUGGUCUUAAGGGCCACUCAUCUGUUCCAAGAAUCUGUUCAAUCUCUUUGUCAUUCGUUCACCUGUUCCUUCAUUUAUUUUUCCAUCAAAAAUUUACUGAGUUCCUUUUUAGUAUCAAGCAAGGCACCAGGGUUAUAGGGGCAAAAAAAUUUAGAGGAUUACUAGAAGCACAACAGAAAGAGCAAAGAAGGAGGAUAUUACAGGAAGAAGGAACAUGUGCCUGAUGAUAAUAAUGACCACUCUUUAGUUAAUAAUUAAUAUCAUCACUUCUAGUUUAUAUGCAACAUGAGGCAAGCAUUGUGCUAAGCCCUUUAUGCGAUUACAUCAUUACAUCCUCAGAGCAACUCUUUCAGGAAGGUUAAUCAUAAUUAAUCAAAUUUUAUAGAUGAAGAAACUGAGAUUUAAAAGUGGCUGUGUAACCUAUCCAAGGCACAGAGCUAAGCAGCGCUGUCAUCAGGAUUCAACUCAGGUCCACCUUAUUGCAAAGUCCCUCUAACUAUACUGGGUAGGCGCUUUCAUAAGCAUUGUACUGACUCAAGCAUCUAACAAUAUGCAUUAUUACUAGAAUUUUAAAGUAUGCUUGUGAUUGACGUGAUAUCCAUAGGAUAAUUCUUGACAUCAACAAUGUUGAGAGUCGUGGGGUUCAUUUAUUUUUGGAUUAAUUUAUACUAACAGGGGCGUAAGGGACCCGGAAUAUUCUUUUCUUCCCAGGAAAACGGUAAUUAUGACAGAAGAGUGCCCUUCCUUGCUCCACAUUCAGUCCCCCCUGGGUGGAGAAAAUGAGGCAGAUCCACUGGUAAUGGAUUUGGGGGUAUGGUUUGAAUUCAUAGCUUAACUUUUCCAUCUACAUGUUAUAAUGCUUCCUCUUUGUUAUUUUUAAAAUUUAAUUUUUAGUAUGUUCUAAAUAGCUAGAUGUGAAAUUUCUCUUCUGUUAUAUCUAUCUUAGGUAUUAUUAGAUUCAGUUUUAUAUAAGUACACAGGAAAAUGAGACUCAGAAUUAUAAUAAUCUGACUAAAAUCAUGCAAAGUCGUAGGUGAUAGAAAAGAGGAUUUACAGCCAAGUUUGUCAUUAUAAAAUAAAUAAAAAUAAACAAACAAAUGCAGAACACUUUGUACCCUAAUAUGUGUCAUAUGCAUAUUAAAAUUAUGGAAUGGUGAGUGUUUCAGUGUGUCUGGGUAAAAGACAAAUGAGUAAGAACAGCAGGAAAUGAAAGGUCUAUCAUAUUCUUCAAUUCCAGGCUACUCUGGGGUUUACCUGGGGCAGCUUAUAAUUUCACUUCUCAAAGGAAACCAAUUCAUUAGCGAAAAGCUUUAUGUGUACAUCUCCUUUAUUAAUACCGUUUUUUUCUCCUUCUUGAUCUUUCGAAUAAGGAGUAUUUAAGAAGCCUGUACUUCUUACCCUUUGCCCUCUCCAUCAGCAUUGUGGCUCGCUGUUCUGUAUGUCCCCUUCUGUCUUUAACAAAGUUUAAGACUUGCAAUUAUGCCAUUGAUCGGAGGGGUGGGGAACAGUUAUGAAUCUCUUCCCCUUCCAUGCCCUGGGCGGGUUCAAUAUACAAUGCUUCUUCUUGCCAUUACAUAAGGAUGAGUUAGGAUGUCUCCAGAAUUUGGAUGUAAAGUUAAAACAGGAAGUAUUUUGAAAUAGAUGGGAUUAGCUUCUGGAAUGUGACUUAUUUUAAGAGAUCCAUUCAUCUUUGGCUAAUUGAAAAUACCUAAUUCCAGUUAGGAUUUGCAAGGCAGUGUCUCAUGAAAAUAUGAGCAAACUUAAAGUAUUUUGUGACUCCUCCAAGCUCAUUGUAAACUUUCUUAAGGGGAAAAAAUUUUUUUAAAUCAAAGAUACAGUAUCUCUGUGAAAAAGGAAAGAUGAAAGCAGGAUUAAUUUACUUCUACUCAGAAUGGACAUAGAAUCCUUAGGAAAAAGAAUGCGUUAUUUUCAGUAAAGCUGUAUCCUUAGUUGUGUGGAAAGGUUUUUUUUUUUUUUUAAUUUCAAAUUUCCCCAUGAUUUAUUUAUUUAUUUAUCUAUUUAGUCUUUUUAGUGCUAUACCCCCGGCAUUUGUAAAUCCCCAGGCUAGGGGUCUAAUCGAAGCUACAGCUGCUAGUCUACGCCACAGCCAUAGCAAUGCCAGAUCCGAGCUGCAUCUGCGACCUACACCACAGCUCACAGUAACGCCGGAUACUUAACCCACUGAGUGAGUCGAGGAUUCGAACCCGCAACAUCAUGGUUCCUAUUUGGAUUCAUUUCUGGAGCUCCUGUUGUGGCUCAGAGGUAACAAAUCUGACUAGCAUCCAUGAGGACAUGGGUUCUAUCCCUGGCCUUGCUCAGUGGGUUAGGGAUCCAGUGUUGCUGUGAGCUGUGGUGUAGGUCACAGGCAUGGCUCAGAUCUGGCAUUGCUGUGGCUGUGGCAUAGGCUGGCUGUGGCUCCAAUUUGACCCCUAGCCUGGGAACCUCCAUAUGCCAUUGGUGCAGCCCUAAAAAGCAAACAAAAAAACUGAAAAAAAGAAAAAGGGGGGAAAAAAAACCCCAGAACCUACUAAUUAGUGCUUAUGACACUACUGAUGAAAACAUUAGCUGAUAGACUGAUGUAUGCUUCAUUUUUGACUGUGGAACCCAGUCUCUAUCUUGAUGAUAGAAAGAAAGCUAGGAGUAAAGUAAGAACAAUCAGUUUUCAUACUGCAUUUCUCAUUGAGGUGAAACCAAGAGAUUAGAUGAGUUUUAGUAGUGUUGCUUACUUCAGCAGAUCAACUGUCUAAAUAAAAGAAUGCCUAAUUCCAUUUGUCUAUUCGUUAGGAUUUGGCAUCACUCCAAAGUUCAGUUCUUUAGAUGAUUUUAUUUUGAACUGUCCAUACAAACUCAUUUUUAAUGAGAGAUGACCUCUCAGAUCCCCCGUACAGUCUCAUUGGAUGCGAUUUUAGUCCGAGUUGAGAGGCUCACAUCAGUCAGAGCUACUAGUAUACUUCAUCAGUCUUGUUAAUGAGCUGACUAUUGGCCUCUCUCUGGUGUGACAUCCUGGCACCCUUGAUCUUUUAUAGAAAGGAAUUAGUGCUGGCAUUCAGUGGAAAGCUCCAAAUGGGCUUAAUUGGAAUUUUUCAGGGUAAGAUAGAAGGUUCAAUUUUUAGCUUAAUGAUGAAGCUGGGACUAUAAACAUACCAGAUUUGAGUUCAGUGAAGGUAAUUACAUGGGCAAAAAUGAAAGCACAAUUAGGCUAUCCCAGCAUCUACUAAAGUGCAAUUAUUGAGAACACGAACCUGGAGAAAAUAGAUUCAUUCUUUAAAUUUGUUCUUUAAAUUUUAACAUUCCUCCCAGGUUUGCUUCUCUUAUUUUCACCCACGGGGAUGGGGGGCAGGGAGUGGGGAGUGGGAAGAAGUAUCCAAGACAUUUCCCAAAGGAUAGUUUCUACUGUUCUUUCUUUCAUAAGGAAUAUAGUGUUAAAGAGUAGACCUAAAAAUGUAUACCUCAAAAGAGAGAGAUUUUUUUUUUUGUCUUUUUGUCAUUUCUUAGGUCGCUCCCACCGCAUGUGGAGGUUCCCAGGCUCGGGGUCUAAUCGGAGCUGUAGCUGCCAGCUUAUGCCAGAGCCACAGCAAUGCUGGAUCCGAGCUGCAUCUGCGAUUCACACCAUGGCUCAAGGCAAUGCCAGAUCCUUAACCCACUGAGCAAGGCCAGGGAUUGAACCCACAACCUCAUGGUUCCUAAUUGGAUUCCCUAACCACUGAGCCACGACAGAAACUCCUUUAUUUUUAUUUUUAUUUUUUUUGUCUUAAGAGAUGGCUUUUAAGAAAGUAUCUUUCCCUCUCUUUUGCAAAUAAUGAAGUGAGAAACUUGAGAGAAGUAUGUUUUUGUGUGCUAUUUGUUGAAUUGAAGGAAUAGUCAGGAUGUAGAAAAGAAAAAUGAAUCACCAUACAAGUUUGACGGAUUUGGCCAGGUUGAUUAUUUCCCAGUUUAAUUACUGAUGAAUCAAUUGGUCUCUCACAUGUAAGACAAUUCCAUCUAAUUGUUAAACCAUCCCCAGGGUCUGGACCACAAGAUGCUUAGCCCAAUCACUUUGAUUCUUAGAAUGAUUAAAUGAAGUUGAGUUUGUGAUAAGCUCUGGACUGUGGCACCCACUGUAGCAAUUAAAAUAUAUACAUGGCAAUUUUUGUUUGAAAUACGAAAUGGUGAAAUGUCAAUUUGACAGAGUAGUUAGCUUGUGAGCAAAGUGAAGGUAUACAUUGUCAAGGCAAUUUGAAUUUGUUUAAAAUUUGGUGAUGGUAGUAUCCUUCCUGCCAGAGGAUUAAUGUGUGAAGACGAUAUGGUUCCUCCUCCUAGUUAUCUUCCACGGAACAAACUGAGUCUUCUCAGGUUCUUUGUGUACCGGCUCAACUCACACUGGACGUGCGAUAUCAUGAACCGUCUUGUACGUCCUUUUAAUCAUCAAAUAUACAUAUACAUACACGUAUGUAUACUUUCCUCCAAAUAUUAAAUUUGGUAAAAAAUUUUAUACUCUUUUUUUCAGUGAAGCAUACAUAUGCCUAAGUAUAGGAAGUAAGACUGAGAAGCGAAAUCAUUACUUUUCCUAGAUUGCAUUCAGGAACUGAAUUUUUCCAAACAUUUUCAUCCAUUGUAUUUUUUUCCUGAUGUUAUGAAAGAUUUUACCUACUGAAUCAACUGCAUUUACUAGGUAACAAAAAUAAUAGUUUUCUAAUCACCAUGUAUGUUUAAUUUUAUAUUAUUUUGUUUAAUCCAAAAGACACUUUUAGAAGGUUCAUGUCACUACUGUUUUCAUCUUUUAAAGGAGAAAAAGAAAGUUAAUUAAUUUAUCCAGCAUUGUGCAAUACUUAAGUGGCUGAAGCAAUGAGUCUUUUUCUUUCUCAGGAGAAGCAUAUGUACAGUUAACAGUUUGCAUACUAGAGUCAGACAAAUUUAGAUUUUAAUUCUUAUUCCAUUACUUCCUGGCUAUGCAACCUUGGGCAAGAUACUUAAUUUGCUUUUCUAACCCUUGGUGAAUUCAUUUCUAAAAGGGGAUAAUAAUAGCAGUACCCCCUGGGAUGAAUUCAUGAGAUUUAAAUGGGAUAAUGCAUGCAAUUUUUUUUAGUGCCAUGCUUGGAAAAUUUCAAAUUCUCAAAAUGUAUUUAUAUUAUUUCUGGUAUAAAGUUAGUAGAAAUUUAGCUCGGGGAAAGUACCUGAUAUUUUGAGCUUGCUUGUGCAUUCUUAAUGUGAGUCUGUGUAUGUGAACCUAAGCUUUUUGACAUACAAAACAAUCUUAGAAUUCCUUAGAAUGUGGAAAGCCAUGCUGGAAACUUUUUCUAACAGCAUGGCUUAUCGGUUUGUUUGUUUGUUUGUUUUAGAUUUCUUGACCCAUUAAAUAUUGCCAAAAUUUCCACUUCAAGAUGGGCAUGAAUAAAUGCACUAAUGAUGGAGUAAGAGCUGACCAUACCAAUGAAAAGAUGCCCACAUAGGUAGACAUUUAAGAGGGGACUUUAAAAAUCCCACUUUCAUACUUUUAAUUUACAGGAGGCAUUGUGAGUAGAAAUCCUCAGAGGGGGUUCAGAUUAAAUGAUAGAUUCAAAAAGUACAGACAGUGGUAUUUGUUUGCUAAGUCUGACAUAACAAAGUGUCACCAAAUGAGUGACUUAAACAACUGGAAAUUUGUUGAAGGCUCAGUGUCUGAGGUCAAGGCAUUGGCUGGGUGGUGGGGCAGACUGUUCCGUGUCUCUUCCCUAACUUUUGGUGGUCGCUGGCCAUUUUCUCAUUGCUUGGUUGGUGGAAGUAUCACUCCUAUCUCUGCCUUCAUUAUCACAUGGCAUUUUUCCUGUAUGUUCUCCAGAUCCAAAUUUCCCCUUUUUAUAAGCACACAUUAGGGGUCCACUCUCUUCUUCUUCUUCCCCCUUUUUUUUUUUUAAGCAAUUAGACACCUUUAUUUUAUUCUGCCUUUUUUGGCCACCACGUGGCAUAUGGAGUUCCUGGGUCAGGGAUCAGACCUGAGCCACAGCCACAGCAAUGCUGGAUUCUUAAUCCACUGUGGUGGGUCAGGGAUCGAACCUGCGUCCCAGUGCUCCCAAGACCCUUCCGAUCCCAUUGUGCCACAGCAGGAACUCUUCACUCUAUUCUAUUAUGACCUCUUUUAAGCUUAACUUAUUAUCUCAGCAGUGACCCUAUUCAGAAGGUCACAUACUCAGGUACUAGGGGCUAGGUCUUCAAAAUAGAAAUAUUGGGGGAACACAGUUCAGUCCAUAACAGCCAUCAUCCCAGAUCAAUCUGAAGAGUAAAUUUUAUAAAGGCAAGAUUGGUGUAAUCGGGACAAUUGUGGUUUGGAUUUAUUUAAGUUAGAAGUUACUUUCAGGAAAGAUAACCUAAUAUUUAAAUGGCAAAAAUGCAUCUGUAGGGGUUCCCUGGUGGAGCAGCAGGUUAAGGAUCUAGCGUUGUCACUGCUGUGAUAUGGGUUCAGUCCUGGGCCUCAGAAUUUCCACAUGCCUUGGGUAUGGCCAAAA
RNAcentral lists this long non-coding RNA (6567 nucleotides) under Sus scrofa (pig). RNAcentral's name for it is "lncRNA (ENSSSCG00025037363.1)". The record is from RNAcentral. Lineage: Eukaryota; Metazoa; Chordata; Mammalia; Artiodactyla; Suidae.